UCCUCUAAACUAAGACCGAGGCGAGGAAAGAUUAGAGGAAGCUGCCGGGGCAACCCCCCAGACAGACAGACAGGCAGCCAGAGGAGGGAGAGACUGGCAUCGAACACGAAACACGAGCAUCUGCUACCUUCAUCAGCUCCGUCUACAUCUGAUCAGAAACACAACAGAUGGAACUGAAGGACAUCAGAGUGAUGACGUGAUGCAGAGGAGACAAAAACAUGGUGAUUAUUAUCGCCGAGGCCAUGAGGAAGAAGAAGAGGAAGAGGAAGAAGAAGAAGAGCCACGCUGUCACCAGAGCCUUUCUGAGGAGUCGAGAGAUUUUUAACUUGAAGCGCCCGGAGCGGGCACACAAAGAUCUGUCUGUUUUGUCCAAAAUAUCUGUACAUGACAGCACAUUAACACUGUUAAUUAUACACAAAACAUGUAUUGAG
Molecule: long non-coding RNA, 431 nt
Organism: Acanthopagrus latus (yellowfin seabream)
Lineage: Eukaryota; Metazoa; Chordata; Actinopteri; Spariformes; Sparidae
Exons: 2
Source: RefSeq, a predicted model, not a curated record